Molecule: long non-coding RNA, 733 nt
Organism: Zingiber officinale
Lineage: Eukaryota; Viridiplantae; Streptophyta; Magnoliopsida; Zingiberales; Zingiberaceae
Exons: 3
Source: RefSeq, a predicted model, not a curated record
UUAUUCCUCCCGCGUGCCCUAGCCUUUCCCUUCGCUCGGCGAUUUCUCCUCUUUGCCCUAACCGGCGCUGCCGCAGCAGUUCAUCUUCUCCCCAGCCGAUUCCUUUUCUUCUCCUACCUCUGAGCAGCGUCGGCUGCCUCCACCAGUGUGUCUGCCGAAGCCGCUGUCGCCAUUGGAUUGCCGGCCACCAGGUUCGACUCACCACCGAUUGCAGCCUAAAUUCCCUCUACCGCCGGCGACGAGAGCCACCGGCGACCCCCUAUCGCCCUAGCCGUGGAGAUAGCGAGCACUGGCCGCCGACUCUCGACCCGAGCAGCACCGCCGCCUCACGAGACAUCGCCGCCAUUCUCCCUUCUGCCCUUUGUGCUACUAGAGCCGACCCUCACCGAAGGACCUCACUGUGCCUUAGUCCCGAACCCGCAGCCGGCCAAUUUCUCCUCUGUUCUAGCAUCGACGAUUGUACCUCCUUCCCUCUCUUGGCGGACAACUAGAGUCACCGGAAAACGAGAGCUCAAGAAGGAGACUGAGGGUAACAGUAGUCCGGCAGUCACUCUUUUCAGCACCAGCACGAUUGUGAGAUUGAAGGGUCCUGAUCUUUAGCAGCCGACAUUUCCUUAUUUCAGCAUUUACUCUGUGAUUUUUCAGCAACAAGAACGGUUGUGGAACUUGAGGUCUUUGACGCGAGGCGAGAAUCUCGAUUAUCAGAUUGGACCAUUUCUUAUUGGAGGCGGGU